RNAcentral lists this ribosomal RNA (433 nucleotides) under uncultured bacterium. RNAcentral's name for it is "partial 16S ribosomal RNA". It matches the Rfam family "Bacterial small subunit ribosomal RNA", at positions 29 to 507 of the family's 1533-position model. The record is from RNAcentral.
AACGAACGCUGGCGGCAUGCCUAACACAUGCAAGUCGAACGAGACCUUCGGGUCUAGUGGCGCACGGGUGCGUAACGCGUGGGAACCUGCCCUUAGGUUCGGAAUAACUCCCCGAAAGGGGUGCUAAUACCGGAUAAUGUCUUCGGACCAAAGAUUUAUCGCCUUUGGAUGGGCCCGCGUUGGAUUAGCUAGUGGGUAGGGUAAAAGCCUACCACGGCGACGAUCCAUAGCUGGUCUGAGAGGAAGGUCAGCCACACUGGGACUGAGACACGGCCCAGACUCCUACGGGAGGCAGCAGUGGGGGAUAUUGGACAAUGGGCGAAGGGCUGAUCCAGCUAUGCCGCGUGAGUGAUGAAGGUCUUAGGGUUGUAAAGCUCUUUUACCCGGGAUGAUAAUGACAGUACCGGAAGAAUAAGCACCGGCUAACUCCGUG